UGACAAAUGACAAGUUUCUGGUGUCCUUGC
This 30-nucleotide non-coding RNA is filed under the name Mus musculus (house mouse). Lineage: Eukaryota; Metazoa; Chordata; Mammalia; Rodentia; Muridae. The record is from RNAcentral.